Myotis brandtii (Brandt's bat) is the source of this 1015-nucleotide long non-coding RNA. RefSeq lists it as uncharacterized. The record is from RefSeq and is a predicted model, not a curated record. NCBI's taxonomy places the organism in Eukaryota, Metazoa, Chordata, Mammalia, Chiroptera, Vespertilionidae. The transcript is spliced from 2 exons.
UUUCCUGCCCCAAAACACAUCAAUACACUGACAAGGUGGCAAAGAGAUCCCAAGCUGAUAGUUCACCUCCAAGUGAUGUUGGGCUUUGCUGUCAGAAUCAUCCUCAUUUACACCAUUGCCACUUGUGUUUGUUGUUGGUCAUGAAAGAACCCAGCAGGUGGUCAAGAGUGCAUUGUCUGGCUCUAGUCUGGGUUCUUUGUAAAUGCAGUUAACUGGCCGAUUAAUUGUGAUUCUCACACUUCCUCUCUCACCUUCUAAGCAUGCAAACAUUAGGAGGCUCAACCUCAGAUCUAUCUUUCUAUAUUUCUGGUGGUUCCUGAGUACUUACCUUAAAGCCAGUCAGCCUGAGUUUAUGCUACUUCUGUCCGACACAGGCCACGCUGUUCAAACUCUCUCUAUGCCUUUUUCCUCACCUUAAAAAUAGGGGUCAUAAUUAUAAUACCUACCUCAUGGACUUCUAGAGAGGAGUAAAUGAGUUAACACUGGUGAAGUGCUUAAGUGUUAGGUGCCAUAGUUUUUAAGCCCUUUGGCAUGCACAGAUUCUCAGAUUCAACCUUGCAGUUGCAAAGCAUAGAACAUGUAGCUGAAAGGGAUUGACUGUGUGGCCAGCUUUUCGUUUUUAUAAAGGAGACAACUGAAAUCCAGAGAAGAGAUAGGUCUUUUCCCAGCGUCACAUGGCUGUUAGAGACAGAGCGAGAAGCAGCAUCAGAGCUCCCUGCCACCUGAAGCAACUUUCUCGAGGUCCCUGGCUACCGGGCAGUGAGAGGAUCAGAUUUUCACAGAACCAGGAGGUUGCAUCUGAAGGCGUGGUAUGAAAAUGAAUAACCUGAGAAAGCACAGCAGGAUGUGAGUAAAUUAAAGCAUUGGGGUUUUUCCCUUGGGUUUUUAGGCAAAGAGGACCUACCUUCUAUAAAAACUUAAAUGAAAAAAGUACUAACAUGAGUGAACGUAGGGGCAAGUCCAAAGCCGAGAUGCCAUUUUUGCUCUAAGUAAAUUCACUGAGGGAAUUUCCCCC